RNAcentral lists this ribosomal RNA (793 nucleotides) under soil bacterium A3. Its description in RNAcentral is "bacterial SSU rRNA". It matches the Rfam family "Bacterial small subunit ribosomal RNA", at positions 54 to 858 of the family's 1533-position model. RNAcentral also lists the same sequence under 1 other name. The record is from RNAcentral.
CAUGCAAGUCGAACGAUGAAGCCCAGCUUGCUGGGUGGAUUAGUGGCGAACGGGUGAGUAACACGUGAGUAACCUGCCCCCGACUUUGGGAUAAGCCCGGGAAACUGGGUCUAAUACCGGAUAUGACUUCCCGCCGCAUGGUGGGUUGUUGAAAGAUUUAUCGGUGGGGGAUGGACUCGCGGCCUAUCAGCUUGUUGGUGAGGUAAUGGCUCACCAAGGCGACGACGGGUAGCCGGCCUGAGAGGGUGACCGGCCACACUGGGACUGAGACACGGCCCAGACUCCUACGGGAGGCAGCAGUGGGGAAUAUUGCACAAUGGGCGGAAGCCUGAUGCAGCGACGCCGCGUGAGGGAUGACGGCCUUCGGGUUGUAAACCUCUUUCAGUAGGGAAGAAGCGAAAGUGACGGUACCUGCAGAAGAAGCGCCGGCUAACUACGUGCCAGCAGCCGCGGUAAUACGUAGGGCGCAAGCGUUAUCCGGAUUUAUUGGGCGUAAAGAGCUCGUAGGCGGUUUGUCGCGUCUGCCGUGAAAGUCCGAGGCUCAACCUCGGAUCUGCGGUGGGUACGGGCAGACUAGAGUGAUGUAGGGGAGACUGGAAUUCCUGGUGUAGCGGUGAAAUGCGCAGAUAUCAGGAGGAACACCGAUGGCGAAGGCAGGUCUCUGGGCAUUUACUGACGCUGAGGAGCGAAAGCAUGGGGAGCGAACAGGAUUAGAUACCCUGGUAGUCCAUGCCGUAAACGUUGGGCACUAGGUGUGGGGGACAUUCCACGUUUUCCGCGCCGUAGCUAACGC